This 505-nucleotide ribosomal RNA is filed under the name uncultured bacterium. Its description in RNAcentral is "partial 16S ribosomal RNA". It matches the Rfam family "Bacterial small subunit ribosomal RNA", at positions 29 to 523 of the family's 1533-position model. The record is from RNAcentral.
AGUGAACGCUGGCGGUAGGCCUAACACAUGCAAGUCGAACGGCAGCACAGAGGAGCUUGCCCCUUGGGUGGCGAGUGGCGGACGGGUGAGGAAUACAUCGGAAUCUACUCUGUCGUGGGGGAUAACGUAGGGAAACUUACGCUAAUACCGCAUACGACCUACGGGUGAAGCAGGGGACCUUCGGGCCUUGCGCGAUUGAAUGCGCCGAUGUCGGAUUAGGUAGUUGGCGGGGUAAAGGCCCACCAAGGCGACGAUCCGUAGCUGGUCUGAGAGGAUGAUCAGCCACACUGGAACUGAGACACGGUCCAGACUCCUACGGGAGGCAGCAGUGGGGAAUAUUGGACAAUGGGCGCAAGCCUGAUCCAGCCAUACCGCGUGGGUGAAGAAGGCCUUCGGGUUGUAAAGCCCUUUUGUUGGGAAAGAAAUCCAGCUGGCUAAUACCCGGUUGGGAUGACGGUACCCAAAGAAUAAGCACCGGCUAACUUCGUGCCAGCCGCCGCCGUAA